CAGUGCUGAGCUCUUAGACAUCGAAGUCAUCUGUCCCCUGGAGGCCAGAUCAUUCAUUCAUUCAUUCUGUUACUGGUUUCACUUUCAAACUCCCUGGAUGAAAAUCACACUAAAAUCCAUCCAUAGUAUAGUUUCCAUCAUUUAUGUACUGUUACUUCUGUCAUCUAUGUAUUCCACAAAGGGUAUUUAAUGAUGUAAUACAAAAAUACUUUCUUUUCUCCUUCAGAGCCUCUCUCCCUCACCCCUCCUUUUCUGAAAGUGCAGUGUCAACUUCCGCCUGCUGCUGCUGCAACGGACAGCUGCUAUUUCAAAUUCAAAUCUCCUCCCUAUCUAUUACGAUUCCUCAUCUUCUACUCUUGUACGCUUUACAUGGUUGGAUAUCUGCUUGUAUUUAUAGAGAAAGAAAGCUUUUGUAAUUUGUUGCAUAAAUAUCGUGAGAGGUUGUAGAUGAAGUCCCUCCAAAAUUGUCACAUGCUCCUCUUCACAACACUGAAUCAGUUUGACUAACUGAAUCAACCCCCCUCUAGUGAGAGAUGUCUGCCAACAGUAUCUGCUCAAGAGAGUGGUGUACCAGCCCGUAACACAGAACUACAUAGGGCAUAUCCUGGAUGGCUAGUGCGGAAGACUCAUGUGUGUAUCUGUCCUUCACAUGACCAUAUGUUAUCAAAAUGAAUUUGAGGAUGGUACCUAAACUAUUUGCCUAUAAAACCAUAUCUCAAAAAGUGUGAAAUUGUUGCAUAGUGUUACUUCAACUAUGGUACUAGGUUGGAGAAGAAAACACACCUACCGUGUGUCGAGUCAUUGUAAUUUCUUAUGGCCAUCAAUGUCAAAAAUGACAUGACAAAGCUUGCAUUCCUAACAAAAAACAAUUCCUCUUCCUGCUUGUCGUUAUGGCCAUCUUACCACUAUGUAUAGCUGCUCAAGGUCAUGGCAAGUUGGACAUAUUUUUGGAACUUUCUAAAUCCAAAGUGAUUUGCGGUACAGGUAUUGUAUGCUUUAAUGUUCAUGUGUGCCUUGUCAUAUUCAUAGACCCCAGACCCCAGAUGUUAGCACCUUACUCUGUUGAGCAACAAGUUAAUGAUAUAAUAUACCAUCAUAUCAACUGCUGUAUAAAGUAAUAACAAUAGAAUGAUAAGGAAAAAGACUCAUCUCACGAAUGAGAUGAUUUUAUGGCUGCUAUGGUAAGCCAUAACAAAUAGAAAUGUUCCAUGAUCAGUGGAUUAUCUAAAGAUGUUCUGAUUUUAUGGGGAUAUCUGGGGAAAAGACCACGAUCACUAACAGUCCUGAAUGCACAGCAGUUAGUCAUGCUUCAUUGUGUGUAUCUAUGAAUGUGCACCAGCAGGGCCAGCAGCAAAGACCAGAGAGACCUAUCCAGUAAUCAGAGUCUCGAGCAGAGCCGUAAACUCAUCCUACAGUCGGCCGAGGAGCUCAAGAGAGUGGACUCGAGCUGUGGCCUGAUGAGAGAGGAGCUUCUCCAGACUCUGAGGAACCUGGAACUGCGGAAGAAGAAACUGAAGACCCUGCUGCCCUUCCUGGAAUUCCUCACCUGGUCACUGCUGAAAGAGGACAGCAAGGUGUCUCAGAUGUGGCUUGCCACCAAACAGCUCACCUGGAAGACAGACGAACCUAAGUACAUCCCAAAUUCAGAUGUUGACAAGAAGAGAGUGAAAGACUUGGAACCCGAACGUCCAGAUAUAAACGUUCAGCAGCAGACCACUGAUAGCACCCGGAGCUUCUCGUCAAACCUCUAGGCUAUGCUAAGCAGAGUUGGUUAGCUGGUUAUUCAGUUAGUAAUGCGUUUUUUUGUUUCCCCUGUCUUGUUAUUCCAAAGUCCUGGGUCUGAAACACUCCGGAUUACAACGGGAAUGAGGGAUCUAAAGCACUUUACUUAAAAAUGUAAAAGCAUGAAUCUGGCCUUAGCCAUCUAAAUAACAGCCUGAAGCUAAACCUCUUUGGAAGACUGAGUAUUGCAGAGCAGUUGGACGAGGGGUACCGAAUUGGCAUUCGAAAACAUGUAAUAUCAUCCAGUGUUUCUGAAUCUAUUCUGCUCUAAACCUCUAGUAUCAUCCAGUGUUUCUGAAUCAAUUCUGCUCUAAACCUCUAGUACCAUCCAGUCUUUCUCACUCUAUUCUGCUCUAAACCUCUACACCCUGUUUUUUUAAUCUACCCUGUUUUAAACUUCUUGUACACACAUGAAUGUUUCAGAAUGUAUUCUGCUCUAAACCUCUAGUAUCCAAUGUUUCUGAAUCUAGUCUACUAUAAACCUCUACUACCCAAUGUUUAAACCUCUGGAACCCAACCCAAUGUUUCUUAAACCAUUCUGCUCUAAACCUCUCAUGCCCAAUUUUACAGUUUGUUGAGAAUUGUUAAUGGUCAGUGUUGAGCACUGUGUUUUCAUGAAAUAAAUCUUUGUUUUUUAAUAUAUUCUACUCAAAAUCUCUCGUGUUUUUUUUUCUCAUUGUGGAGUGCUAU
Molecule: long non-coding RNA, 2472 nt
Organism: Clupea harengus (Atlantic herring)
Lineage: Eukaryota; Metazoa; Chordata; Actinopteri; Clupeiformes; Clupeidae
Source: Ensembl